RNAcentral lists this long non-coding RNA (360 nucleotides) under Brassica napus (rape). RNAcentral describes it as "long non-coding RNA (BNAP_LNC023514)". Lineage: Eukaryota; Viridiplantae; Streptophyta; Magnoliopsida; Brassicales; Brassicaceae. The record is from RNAcentral.
AUGUUAUAAACAUAUAAUAUAUAAAAGAAUUUAUAUAUAUAAUGUUUAUCCCGCGCAAGGCGCGGAUCUUAACCUAGUUCAAAGUAAAAAAGACAAAAAUAGAAAAUAAAUAAUAAAAAAAUUACAUUUUUCAUGACAUUUCAAUUGUGAAAUAAAUACAUGAUUUUUUUUUUGAUAAACCAUAAAUACACGAUUUGUAAAUUUAUAAACACCUACUACAAACAAAAGAUUUAUUUUUUUUGUUUUCUUGAUAUAUAUAAACAAGAGAUAUAAUGUUAUUUUACCAAAUAAAUGUAGAAUUUUUUUUUUCCAGAAAGUUAUGAAUUUAAAGCAAAACUCAACCAUACUUCCAAUAAUGAU